This 499-nucleotide ribosomal RNA is filed under the name uncultured bacterium. RNAcentral describes it as "partial 16S ribosomal RNA". It matches the Rfam family "Bacterial small subunit ribosomal RNA", at positions 899 to 1397 of the family's 1533-position model. The record is from RNAcentral.
ACUCAAAUGAAUUGACGGGGGCCCGCACAAGCGGUGGAGCAUGUGGUUUAAUUCGACGCAACGCGCAGAACCUUACCAGCCCUUGACAUGGCGGCUGCGCCCCGGUGAGAGCCGGGGUUCCCUUCGGGGGGCCGUCACAGGUGCUGCAUGGCUGUCGUCAGCUCGUGUCGUGAGAUGUUGGGUUAAGUCCCGCAACGAGCGCAACCCUUAUCUCUAGUUGCCAGCGGGUUGGGCCGGGCACUCUAGAGAGACCGCCGGUGACAAGCCGGAGGAAGGUGGGGAUGACGUCAAGUCCUCAUGGCCCUUAUGGGCUGGGCUACACACGUGCUACAAUGGCGGUGACAGUGGGCAGCGAAGGAGCGAUCCGGAGCUAAUCCCAAAAAGCCGUCUCAGUUCGGAUCGCAGGCUGCAACUCGCCUGCGUGAAGGUGGAAUCGCUAGUAAUCGUGGAUCAGCACGCCACGGUGAAUACGUUCCCGGGCCUUGCACACACCGCCCGU